UCUUUAGCUUCAGGAGCCGGAGGUUUAUUUUUCUUGUACCAGAUCUAAAGCCCUCCGUUAGGAGAAGGUUCUUAUUUACGCUUUUAUUUACUUUCUGUCUACGCUUUUAUUUUAUUUAUUUUCUGCACUCGCUUUACUUUAUUUAUUUUCCGCACUCACUUUACUUUAUUUAUUUUCUCCACUCGCUUUACUUUAUUUAUUUUCCGCACUCGCUUUACUUUAUUUAUUUUCCGCACUCGCUUUACUUUAUUUAUUUUCCGC
RNAcentral lists this long non-coding RNA (261 nucleotides) under Lathyrus oleraceus (garden pea). RNAcentral describes it as "Pisum sativum (pea) long non-coding RNA (PSAT_LNC010743)". The record is from RNAcentral. Lineage: Eukaryota; Viridiplantae; Streptophyta; Magnoliopsida; Fabales; Fabaceae.